RNAcentral lists this ribosomal RNA (325 nucleotides) under uncultured bacterium. Its description in RNAcentral is "bacterial SSU rRNA". It matches the Rfam family "Bacterial small subunit ribosomal RNA", at positions 28 to 334 of the family's 1533-position model. The record is from RNAcentral.
GACGAACGCUGGCGGCGCGCCUAACACAUGCAAGUCGAACGAGAGAGAGGAAGCUUGCUUCCUUAAUCGAGUGGCGAACGGGUGAGUAACGCGUGAGGAACCUGCCUCAAAGAGGGGGACAACAGUUGGAAGGGACUGCUAAUACCGAAUGUUGUAGAGUUUCCGCAUGGGAAUCCUACUAAAGGUGGCCUCUACUUGUAAGCUAUCGCUUUACGAUGGGUCUGCGUCUGAUUAGCUAGUUGGUGGGGUAACGGCCUACCAAGGCGACGAUCAGUAGCCGGUCUGAGAGGAUGAACGGCCACAUUGGAACUGAGACACGGUCCAG